RNAcentral lists this long non-coding RNA (3818 nucleotides) under Gallus gallus (chicken). Its description in RNAcentral is "lncRNA (ENSGALG00010015450.1)". The record is from RNAcentral. Lineage: Eukaryota; Metazoa; Chordata; Aves; Galliformes; Phasianidae.
UUUUUUUAUUAUUUUUUUUUUUAAGAAAUAUAGAAAUACUUAAAAUGAAACUUCAUAACAUCUAUUUUCACUUACUAUAUAACAAAAACUUGGAGAAGGUGGGGAGGAAAGGAUGAAGUCACUCAACCUCUAAGCAUCAUCUAGUUGACCACCCACAAUCAGUCCAAUUUUAGCACUGUGAGAUCCCCAACAAUCAGUCACAAAUAGCACAUCCUAUUACUUUCCAGUCUGUUAAAGCUUGUUUGUGAAACUGAAAAAGUAACAUCCUCAAGCUGCCUUAGCUUAGAUACAAAGAGCUAAGACUAGAAACGUGCAUACUCCUAAUAUAAACGGAAUUAUUUGACGGUUACAUUAGCAUUCAGAUUCAUGACACUGGUCUGCUAGAUUUAAUGCAGCAAGACUAGUCAAGGAUUAAACAAUCUGUUACCAAGGGAAUAACCAACAUUUCCUGAAAGAUCCACUGAGAAUCCAUACAGUCAACAUAUGGAGGGACUAAAAAGAUAAAUGGAAAGAUUUGAAGCAUAAACUAUACACAGAAAAACUAAAUACUAAAAACACAAACGGAAAACAUUUUGGUGAUAGUAAAAUGCACAUAAAAGACCUGAACAUGUAUCUGCAAUAUUUGCUACAACGUUCUACUUUGUCCCAGAGCACCAACAAUAUCUGAGUUAAUAUAGUUAAACAUAACACCGCAAGAGUAGGAAUCUCUUUAGGAUAAUUAACAUAUUCAGAAAAUGACUAAUAUAAGCAUACCCUGAAAAUUCUGAAUGUACAAAAACAGUUCAAAUGUUGUUAUAAACAAAACCUUCAGUUUAAUAACUUCUUUCACUCUUUUUUUUCUCUCCUUUACACAGUCUAAUAUGAAAAUAUAGUCUAAAACCAGAAAAGCUGCACAGCCACUGAGAUAUUAUCAUCAUAUUCUCAGGACCAGAAAUCAAACAACAUUUCUGGUAGGUUACUUUAGAAGUUUCAUUUCUCUCCUGAAGUCCUGAGUUCUAAGAGUCUUAAGUAAUGAUUUGUCUGUUUUAAAUGAAUACAGGUAAGUGUUUAGAUUUUAGGCAUUAGGUAAAAAAAAAUCCUACUAGUCUUUGCCUCCACUAAGUUGGUGGAUGGCCAAAAUAAUUCUAAAUGUACUAAAAACCCUUAAAAUGACCUGACAACCACCAAGUGACAGUUCCCAAGUCAACCUUUGCCAAGAUCUAAUAAAAUGAACUGUGAUCUUUUGUAUCUCUUGUACCUUCCAAAUACUUCAUACAUGAAGGAUCUAAUGGGAGCUAAGUCAGCUUUAUUACUAUAUAUUGGAAAUCCAUAUUAAAAGAUUCCCUCCAAAGAAUUUUUACAGCCACUUCAUGCUACAGGAAACCUCUGAAGACUCUUCCUUAUUUCUCAAUUGUUCACUGGUAAAAAAAACUUCAGAAAUUUUAUUUAAAAGGAAGUUACAGUGCCCAUAUUAAAAACUGUUUACUUCUAAUGUUGGAGAGAAAAGAUUGUUACAGUCCAGGAGCCAGCAGAAUUAUCCGGCACUGGCUUAAGAGGAAGAAAUUAGUUCAGUUGUAAGAGAAAUAUAGGCAAGCUCAAUUGAUAUACCACAAUGGAUUUGACAUAUUGCGAGCAAAUAAACUCCUUAAGAAUAUUUUGUCUUGAUUGGUUUUGUCUUGAUGUAUUUAGUAUUACAGCUGCUCAUAAUACACUUAAUGACUCACAUCUAGAAGCUACAAAAGCACAUUAAAUAUCUACAGCAAUUUAAAGUUUUCUGGAAGAAAAGAAUAUUUCAUUCAUUGAUUUGUCAUUAAACAUAAGCAACAAACCUUUGAAGAUGACACACUGAGUUUUGGGGGAAGAGCUCCAGUCUUUUGGCUUCAUAAAACUGAGCGGUGUAGCUUGGAGUAGUAUAGAAAAGUGUAACAGAAAGGCUAUCAAAAAUAUGUUGGCGUCAAAGGAGGCCUGAGUUCAAAACUUUAGCAUGAAUUUGCUGUAGAAAAGCUGAAGCUGGAUCUGUUUCAGCUGAAAUUUCAGAUAAAUUUCCUAUCUCUGUCUUCACUGUGGCUGUUUGAAAAAAAUUAGGGAAAAUACUAUUUUCUUUCCAACUUAGAUGAACUUAUUUGCAUUGAUAGAAAACCCCGUAAAUUUUUGAGUAUGAAUUAAUCAUAUUUUUCUCCCUUCUCUUCAUGUUUCCUAAGGCAUUUCCCAGAUUUUGUGACUUAUAGCUGGUUUAGAAACUUUCCAUACACCCAUAAGCUACAAGGAUUCUUACUGUCCUUGCUUGUUUGCACUGAGGACCAUCCUGAGAAGACAUCUGCAUAUUUACUGGGAAACCUUAAUCCAGCUUGUUCUUGCUGGUUUGUUAGAAACUUCUGUUUCUAAGUAACUGGUGUUAGAUCAAACAAACAUUAUUUUGAAGUGACAGGAUUUUAUUUGUUUCAUCUGACUAAAAAAUGGUGAGCUCAAAAGGAUGAGUUUUUUAAGGCACAAGACUAAAAUGCUAUAAGUUUACUAAACCCAAGAUAUACUUGCGUCAAUACCAUUUUUUCCACAAAAACGUCAAAGAAACUUCACUAAAUGAGAUGAGAAGUAAAAUGGUGAAAUUGUCAUAAAAAUCUUCUUCUUACCAUAACAUUUUCAUAUCUUUAAGUGUCUAGAUAAAAAAAAAAAAGAACGGGGUUGCUAUGUUUAUGACUCCAUCAUCAUUCAGUCUCCUUGCUCUCAAGUAGCCAUCAAAGAAGAGGAAAAAUCUGUCAAUAGCUCGUGACCAAUGAAAAAAUCUGAAAGAAUCUUAUAUGUUUUAUUUGGCAGUUAUAAUUAUUCUAGGAUAACUGAUAACAUUUUAAAAUUGAAUACAAAACUCCUGUGGGAAAUUUAUACCAACGAGUAAUAAACUGGCUGGACAGCAUUUUACUUCACUUGGUCUUCAUCUCACUCCAGGAAUAUAUAUAUUGCACUGUCUCCUCCAAUAAUUGGUGCAAGACACUGUCCUCAGCUUUUUAGCUUUCAAGGGGUUAACUGAGUAGCUCGAGAAACCAAGCAAGCACUUUGAUGCUAUCAUUUACUACUGAAGGGGGCCAAGAGGACAACUGAUAGCAUAUCCUCUUGCAAAUCCCCCAAGCUGAUAUUUCUGAAAUCUAAAAUGGAAGUUAUUUCUGUGGAGCCGAUGGAUUUGACUUUAAUAUUUUCUUAGCAUCCAUUUUCACACAGGUACUAGGAAAUACAUCAGACUCACUUGUCAUCUGGAUGAGACCUGGGUCUUCCUUUGGUUGAGACAACUGAGAUUGAAAGUUCCUUUAUGAGACAAAAAAAAAAUCUUUUUCUUUCUUUUUUUAAAUUUGAGAAGCUAUUUUUUUUCACAUCAACACUUGGCUAGAAUAAUCUUUGACAAAUAAACUAUUCCAGGCCUUAAUAAGCUCUCAUACAGCAAGAAAAUGUAUGAGGAAAUUAAAUUCAAAUGCAAAACCAAGGCAGAACUGUCUUCUGCUUACUGGAGGAAAAUAUUACAAAAAAAAAAAAAACUGCAUCAAAUGAAAGUAAUGGUUUUAAGAGCUGUCAGCACAGCAAUGUUUAAAAUUUUUAUGCAAAAUACUAAAAUUUCACAUAUUUUUAUAUCUGUACUUAAAUAAGAGAAACAUGGAGCUACAGAGUACUUUCUCUUUGUCCCAUGGUUAGUUCUGGAUGGCUAUGCAGAGAAGUAAAACUCCUUGUAAUUUCAGUGCCAGGCCUAUAUGAAGCUAAUCCACUACUUCCUGAAGGAGGAGGAAAAGUUCCCAGUUCCAGCCCCUAGUUUGCUGGUUAGCCUGCCUGAGGGCUGGAAUGGUAAUUUUUAAUUG